Molecule: non-coding RNA, 74 nt
Organism: Cydia amplana
Lineage: Eukaryota; Metazoa; Arthropoda; Insecta; Lepidoptera; Tortricidae
Source: the annotation of a RefSeq genome assembly
GUCUUGGUGGCUCAGAUGGUAUGAGCACUGUACUAUGGAUCCAGUGGUCGUGGGUUCAAGUGCCACCCAAGACA